CCGUAAUGUGGACCAGACACAUCGAUUUGCGCAGAGUAUGAUAUUUAUUUUUUACUGAAAAUACUCGAUAUUAUGAUGGUAUUACUCUUGCAUUUUCAUAUUAUUUUAUGCAGAAACAAAAUCACCUUCAUGGCGUGGCUCCAAACCUUCGAAGUUCAGGGAUUUCCAGCUAACAGGGACUGGCCAACAGCAGCAAAUACAAUGGCAGUGGUGGGAACAAGGCGGUUUUGACUCUUCGAAAGAAGAUGGCCAUCAAGAACAGUUUUCAAAUGAAUCAUAUGUGGAAUGGAUGUCUCAGGCCCCCGUGUUUGUCCUCGUUGUGGCUCCUUCUCACCGCACCGGGUCGUCCUACUUGGGGGAAUUGGUGGCCUCUCUUCGCAGCUCAGUCUACUUCUUCGAACCUUUGUGGUACUUUCCUACAUAUGAAAAAAUCUACGACGUUAACUCUGAUAAACUGAGAGAAGUAAUCAGGCUACUAUUUACGUGUCAGCUUACUUCGGUCAAAUACAUUUUACCUGAUCUGCACGCGAUGAAAUUCAUCAUUAGGCGACCUCGAGGCCUGAGUAUGC
This is a long non-coding RNA of Penaeus monodon (black tiger shrimp), 569 nucleotides long. RefSeq lists it as uncharacterized. The transcript is spliced from 5 exons. The record is from RefSeq and is a predicted model, not a curated record. NCBI's taxonomy places the organism in Eukaryota, Metazoa, Arthropoda, Malacostraca, Decapoda, Penaeidae.